UACAGAGGUGGCAAGCGUUGUUCGGAAUUACUGGGCGUAAAGAGCUCGUAGGCGGUUUGUCGCGUCUGCCGUGAAAGUCCGGGGCUCAACUCCGGAUCUGCGGUGGGUACGGGCAGACUAGAGUGAUGUAGGGGAGACUGGAAUUCCUGGUGUAGCGGUGAAAUGCGCAGAUAUCAGGAGGAACACCGAUGGCGAAGGCAGGUCUCUGGGCAUUAACUGACGCUGAGGAGCGAAAGCGUGGGGAGCGAACAGG
RNAcentral lists this ribosomal RNA (253 nucleotides) under uncultured bacterium. RNAcentral's name for it is "partial 16S ribosomal RNA". It matches the Rfam family "Bacterial small subunit ribosomal RNA", at positions 524 to 776 of the family's 1533-position model. The record is from RNAcentral.